ACUCCUACGGGAGGCAGCAGUGAGGAAUCUUCCACAAUGGGGGCAACCCUGAUGGAGCAACGCCGCGUGCAGGAUGAAGGCCUUCGGGUCGUAAACUGCUUUUAUAAGUGAUGAAUAUGACAGUAGCUUAUGAAUAAGGAUCGGCUAACUACGUGCCAGCAGCCGCGGUCAUACGUAGGAUCCGAGCGUUAUCCGGAGUGACUGGGCGUAAAGAGUUGCGUAGGUGGUUUAAUAAGUGAAUAGUGAAAUCUGGUGGCUCAACCAUUCAGACCGUUAUUCAAACUGUUAAACUCGAGAACAGCAGAGGUAACUGGAAUUUCUUGUGUAGGAGUGAAAUCCGUAGAUAUAAGAAGGAACACCAAUGGCGUAGGCAGGUUACUGGGCUGUUUCUGACACUGAGGCACGAAAGCGUGGGGAGCGAACCGGAUUAGAUACCCUGGUAGUC
This 445-nucleotide ribosomal RNA is filed under the name uncultured bacterium. RNAcentral describes it as "bacterial SSU rRNA". It matches the Rfam family "Bacterial small subunit ribosomal RNA", at positions 335 to 795 of the family's 1533-position model. The record is from RNAcentral.